This is a non-coding RNA of Drosophila persimilis, 95 nucleotides long. The record is from Rfam. NCBI's taxonomy places the organism in Eukaryota, Metazoa, Arthropoda, Insecta, Diptera, Drosophilidae.
CCUUCGAUAGCUCAGUUGGUAGAGCGGUGGACUGUAGAGCGAUUGACAGAAAAGUAGACAUCCAUAGGUCGCUGGUUCAAAUCCGGCUCGAAGGA